Molecule: ribosomal RNA, 468 nt
Filed under: uncultured bacterium
Lineage: Bacteria
Description: partial 16S ribosomal RNA
Rfam family: Bacterial small subunit ribosomal RNA
Source: RNAcentral
GACGAACGCUGGCGGCGUGCUUAACACAUGCAAGUCGAACGGAAAGGCCCUGCUUUUGUGGGGUGCUCGAGUGGCGAACGGGUGAGUAACACGUGAGUAACCUGCCCUUGACUUUGGGAUAACUCCAGGAAACUGGGGCUAAUACCGGAUAGGAGCUCCUGCUGCAUGGUGGGGGUUGGAAAGUUUCGGCGGUUGGGGAUGGACUCGCGGCUGAUCAGCUUGUUGGUGGGGUAGUGGCUUACCAAGGCUUUGACGGGUAGCCGGCCUGAGAGGGUGACCGGCCACAUUGGGACUGAGAUACGGCCCAGACUCCUACGGGAGGCAGCAGUGGGGAAGAUUGAACAAUGGGCGGAAGCCUGAUGCAGCAACGCCGCGUGCGGGAUGACGGCCUUCGGGUUGUAAACCGCUUUCGCCUGUGACGAAGCGUGAGUGACGGUAAUGGGUAAAGAAGCACCGGCUAACUACGUG